UAUGUGAUCGUCUCUCGCAUAUCAAUAAGCGGAGGAAAAGAAACUAACAAGGAUUCCCCUAGUAACGGCGAGUGAAGCGGGAAGAGCUCAAAUUUGAAAUCUUAAAGGGUUUCCCUUUACGAAUUGUAGUUUAAAGAAGUGUUUUCUGUUGAGGUUUUGGUAAAAGUUCUUUGGAAUAGGACAUCAUAGAGGGUGAGAAUCCCGUAUUUGACCUUUACUUUCAACUUUGUGAUACACUUUCAAAGAGUCGGAUUGUUUGGGAAUGCAGUCCAAAAUGGGUGGUAAAUUUCAUCUAAAGCUAAAUAUUGGCGAGAGACCGAUAGCGAACAAGUACCGUGAGGGAAAGAUGAAAAGAACUUUGAAAAGAGAGUUAAACAGUACGUGAAAUUGUCAAAAGGGAAGCGUUUGACACCAGUGUUGUUUCUCUGAAAAUCAAUUAAAGAACUGUUUAUGCUAAGCUGUUUAGACUUUAUCAGCUAAUCUGUUUAGUUUUGAGCUUUUCUUUAAUGCACUUUUCAGUUAACAAGUCAACAUCAAUUUCUUUUGCUGUAAAAAGCUUGAGGAAGGUGGCUUGAGAUUCGUCUUAAGUGUUUAUAGCCUCUUGCCUAUGCAGUCGGAGAGAUUGAGGUCUGCAGCGUAGAUCCUUCGGGGCUAAAUGCAUUUGUGCUAAGUUAUAGCAUUUUAUAGACAACUUGUUGACUAUGAUUUGUCUUGUAGCUUACUCGCUUAUGUUAUUUUACCUACGCUUAGGAUGUUGAACGCGCACAGAGUCU
Molecule: ribosomal RNA, 773 nt
Filed under: uncultured Neocallimastigales
Lineage: Eukaryota; Fungi; Neocallimastigomycota; Neocallimastigomycetes; Neocallimastigales
Description: partial large subunit ribosomal RNA
Rfam family: Eukaryotic large subunit ribosomal RNA
Source: RNAcentral